AUCUAAUGGUUUGGAAUUCUUCCAAAACCAUAAACAUGGAAUUUGUGUCUAAACUAUUUUCUCAUAUGCAAACAAUAGCUAAUUAAUGCUACUAAAAGAAGAUUAAAUCCUAAAUACAUCUUUCAUUCAAGUAACAGUAGCAUGUUAUACUUUUAGAAAAGCAUGUUAAUCCCAAGUGAGUUAAUCCCACUGGAAUUGCAUUUUUAUGAAUUACCAAAAUAAUUAUAUGCAUUUUCUAAGUUUAGAAAGUACAUUAAUUCGGGUUUCAAUUUCAUAACACUAAAAUAUAUACAUGACAGCACCACAUUAUGGUACUGGUCACUUCUUAUUAGUUUAUAGGAAUUUUCUAAACAAGUGUCAUAUUUAUCUAUUAUACAAAAUAAUUCUAUGCAUUUUCUAAGCAUUUAACCAAAUAAAUAGCUAAUGUUUAUAUUUUCUGCAGAAAAUAUGCAUGUAUACUUCUAAAAAAGUCUACUGGAGAAUACUAAAGUAACACAAGUUGUUUCACAUUUUUCAUAGCUAGGCAUGAUUUAUUAUGCAUUUUACAACAUUAACAUCAAUUAUAAAUGGACUGAAAUGGUUUUUAUAUGUUACCACAAAAAUAUUACAAACACCUCAUCUCAUAUAUCACAUGAUUAAAUACUACACUAAAUUAUCUAACUAAUGCAAGUAGUUUGGUAUUUUUCUGAAUUUAUUUGAAUUAGUUAUGAAAUUUACAAGAUUAAACCUAAUUUCUGGAAAAUUGCUAUUGUUUUAAUAACUGAACAGUGGCUGACAUGUGGGGCCCAUUGUCAGGAAUUUAAUCAUUUUGCAAAAAUGAAAAAGGCUACUGUUCUUCUUGGGCUGAAGCUAGAAAUAGUAAUGGGCCUCGGGCCUUUUUCUUUUAUUUUCUUCAUUUUUAGUUUGGGCCAAGGGGCAGUGGGCCGAGGGAAUUUGGGCUGGUAGAGGACUC
This 952-nucleotide long non-coding RNA is filed under the name Brachypodium distachyon (stiff brome). RNAcentral's name for it is "long non-coding RNA (BDIS_LNC000450)". Lineage: Eukaryota; Viridiplantae; Streptophyta; Magnoliopsida; Poales; Poaceae. The record is from RNAcentral.